Molecule: transfer RNA, 60 nt
Filed under: Hydatigera taeniaeformis
Lineage: Eukaryota; Metazoa; Platyhelminthes; Cestoda; Cyclophyllidea; Taeniidae
Description: tRNA-Cys
Source: RNAcentral
GAGUAUGAAAUAAAAUUGGUUUUGCAAAAACUAAUUAGAAUUAUGUUAAUUCCAUACUUU